Perognathus longimembris pacificus (Pacific pocket mouse) is the source of this 542-nucleotide non-coding RNA. Lineage: Eukaryota; Metazoa; Chordata; Mammalia; Rodentia; Heteromyidae. The record is from the annotation of a RefSeq genome assembly.
ACACCCUGUGCAGGAGUCAGACCCAGUCACUGAGACACAGCGCAGACAUGAAGGCUCCUGCCCAGCUCCUGGGGCUCCUGCUGCUUUGGCUCCCAGGUGCCAUGUGUGACAUCCAGAUGACCCAGUCUCCACCCUCCCUGUCUGCAUCUCCAGGAGACAGAGUCUCCAUGACUUGCAGGGCCAGUCAGGGCAUAAGCAAUUAUUUAGCCUGGUAUCAGCAGAAACCAGGGAAACCACCUAAGCCUCUGAUUUAUUGGGCAUCCACUUUGCAAUCUGGGGUCCCAUCGAGGUUCAGUGGCAGCGGAUCUGGGACAGAGUUCACUCUCAGCAUCAGCAGCCUGCAGCCUGAAGAUCUUGCCACUUAUUACUGUAUGCAGUAUUAUAGUGCUCCUCGCACAGUGAUACAAGUCAUAACAAAAACCUCCCAGGGCAGCAGAAGUGAGAGGCUGGGCUGCCCCAGCUGCAUCUCUUGCUGCCUCUGCCGGCUGAUGGUGCUUCUCAACUACAACUCGGGGUUCCAGGUUACUGAUCAUUCUAGUUGA